This 29-nucleotide non-coding RNA is filed under the name Mus musculus (house mouse). The record is from RNAcentral. Lineage: Eukaryota; Metazoa; Chordata; Mammalia; Rodentia; Muridae.
AUGACCUUGAACUGCUGAUCUUCCUGCCU